CCUACGGGCGGCUGCAGUGGGGAAUAUUGGACAAUGGGCGAAAGCCUGAUCCAGCCAUGCCGCGUGUGUGAAGAAGGCCUUCGGGUUGUAAAGCACUUUCAGUGGGGAAGAAAGCCUUGGGGCUAAUACCCUCGAGGAAGGACAUCACCCACAGAAGAAGCACCGGCUAACUCCGUGCCAGCAGCCGCGGUAAUACGGAGGGUGCGAGCGUUAAUCGGAAUUACUGGGCGUAAAGCGCGCGUAGGCGGUCUGAUAAGCCGGUUGUGAAAGCCCCGGGCUCAACCUGGGAACGGCAUCCGGAACUGUCAGGCUAGAGUGCAGGAGAGGAAGGUAGAAUUCCCGGUGUAGCGGUGAAAUGCGUAGAGAUCGGGAGGAAUACCAGUGGCGAAGGCGGCCUUCUGGACUGACACUGACGCUGAGGUGCGAAAGCGUGGGUAGCAAACAGGAUUAGAUACCCUUGUCGUC
Molecule: ribosomal RNA, 465 nt
Filed under: Vreelandella stevensii
Lineage: Bacteria; Pseudomonadati; Pseudomonadota; Gammaproteobacteria; Oceanospirillales; Halomonadaceae
Description: partial 16S ribosomal RNA
Rfam family: Bacterial small subunit ribosomal RNA
Source: RNAcentral